RNAcentral lists this ribosomal RNA (253 nucleotides) under uncultured bacterium. Its description in RNAcentral is "partial 16S ribosomal RNA". It matches the Rfam family "Bacterial small subunit ribosomal RNA", at positions 524 to 776 of the family's 1533-position model. The record is from RNAcentral.
UACGAAGGGGGCAAGCGUUGUUCGGAAUUACUGGGCGUAAAGGGCGCGUAGGCGGCCGAUCAAGUCAGGCGUGAAAUUCCCGGGCUCAACCUGGGGGCUGCGCUUGAUACUGAUUGGCUUGAAUGCGGGAGAGGAUAGUGGAAUUCCCAGUGUAGAGGUGAGAUUCGUAGAUAUUGGGAAGAACACCGGUGGCGAAGGCGGCUAUCUGGCCCGUAAUUGACGCUGAGGCGCGAAAGCGUGGGGAGCAAACAGG